Talpa occidentalis (Iberian mole) is the source of this 300-nucleotide long non-coding RNA. RefSeq lists it as uncharacterized. The transcript has 3 exons. NCBI's taxonomy places the organism in Eukaryota, Metazoa, Chordata, Mammalia, Eulipotyphla, Talpidae. The record is from RefSeq and is a predicted model, not a curated record.
GAGUGUGUCACUAACCAGGUCCUUCCUGAAACAGUUUUGUGAGUGGCAACACUUGAGGGGAAAACCAAAAAGCCCAAGAAGAUGGAAGCAGUCUGCCCUUGGGAUGACAUGGAUUUUCCUCAUGCUGAGCAUCUAAAUCAGAGUGAAAGCACAAACAAAAUGCCUAAGGAACUGUAACAAGUGGUAUGCUUCCAAAGAAACAAAUAGUGAGUUUUGCCUCUCUUAGGGCAAUCUAGGUGUAAUUCUUCAAUUACACCUAUGAAAAAUGGGGGAAAAGUCAAAAACAAAUAAAUACAAAUU